Molecule: long non-coding RNA, 1518 nt
Organism: Trifolium pratense (red clover)
Lineage: Eukaryota; Viridiplantae; Streptophyta; Magnoliopsida; Fabales; Fabaceae
Exons: 5
Source: RefSeq, a predicted model, not a curated record
UUUUCGCACUCCCAAUCUCAAUCCCACGAUCUUCAAACCACUUCCAGCAAACAUAGAACUCAAAUCCUAGAAACAAAAUCAACUUCUUCUAGCUUCUUUCAAACCAUUCCUAGGAAACAUUGAACUCAAACCAUAGAUUCGAAAUCAAUCGUCUUCUAGCUUCAAACUUAAAGGAUCGAACUUCGAUAGAAAUCGUUCCUCUAUAAUCAAACUCAGAGCAAUCAGAACUCAGAGAAAUCGAAGUUAGAGCAAUCGUUUCCCAUUAAUCGUUCCUCUUCUCCAAUCACACUCAUCUUCUCCAAUCACCCUCGUCAAUCCUAAUAUCCAAGAACCCAGAAACCACUGUGAACCCUAUCCCAUAACCCAUAAAUUCUCUUCGUCGCCGUGCUCUUACAACUCAAAUUGUUGUCAUUAAGGUGUUGGGGACUUUCAUCACUGAAUGGGAUGAGAGAAAGGCUAACUGUGAUAUACUACUUUCAACAAAGGAGUCUGCACAAAUGUAUGCAGAACGUCUGGCAGAGCUUGCUGUUCAUUUAGGCUUUGAUGGGUGGCUAAUAUAUAUUUCUUCAUCUCUCUGUACUUAUAAAGUUUCUAUUCUUGAGCCCUAUGUUCAAUUGCAGAUUUCUUUGAAUUUUUUAGCUCUGACUACUGCAGGAUGCCUCUUCUUCCUCCACUUUUGCUCUUUGUGGUACAAUGUAAGAAACAAGAUGGUGGCAGGUCUUGUCUUCUCUACUUUUCUUCUGUUUUGUGGUUUGCAAGUGUUAUUUAUUUACUUCAUCUUACAUUUGGCUUCAGGUAUAUCCUUGCUACUCUCGAGGCAACGUGAUUCUCUCCUCUCCACACCUUGAACCAGUUUCAUGUGCUCUCAUGGCCAAAGGGUUGCAUGUGUUGGAAACAAUCUUAAUCUGCUGGUUUUGAGUAUUAAAAGCUAAGGUAAAAUUAGUAAUUUCAAUUCCACUCUCUUUCCCUCUUUUUAUGAACACUAAACUCACCCUUAAAGCCUUCACUCAUUUGGGGUCAAUUGCAUGUACACAUACUCUGUAAAUUGGGGUAAUUGAAAGUGUUAGGGAACUGAUUGAAAUGGAGAAAAGAAUUGAAGGUCGGAGCUUGGAAGGACUGUUGAUGGAACAAGAAAACAAGAGGAAUUGCUUAAGUUGUGUAAAAUCCGUAUUUGGGACAGGGCUCCACUCAAACGAGUUAUAUUGAGGUCUAGGCAUGAUUUCGAAGUGGAGGGUCUGAAGCUGAGUUUGUGCAGGAAUAUGGACUGUUCGUGAAGGCAUGCUUUCGAAUUUUGGCUUUAUCAAUGCUUAGCAAUGCAUUUAAUGCUCUGUAAUUCAUAUACUGAUUAGUUUAAAUGUAAAUUAUAUUUGGAUUUGAAGAUAUCCAUUGUAUUCUAGUAACUUGUAAAGAGAUUUGAGUAACAUAUUUUCUAACCAAUACUUUUGUAUGGUACCUCUUCGAAUGUCUUAUGUGGUGUUUAAUUAUAAUCAAUGAAAUUUGUUGGCUCUUUUUUUUUUU